CUUCGCAAUUGGCAUUACAUCCCAUAGCCAUAGUGUGGGCCAAGCCAUCUCUCCGAUUCCUCAUCAGGGAAUGAUGAUUGGAAAUCCUGAAAUCCCAUGAACUCUAAAGAAUCAGAGUUGUGGAUGACCAAAAGGGCCCUGGAGAGGAGAAUGGCAGGAGGAGAUCAUUUCCAAUGCUGAUCUAUGAACAAGAAGUGGUUAGGAAGGAAACACAUUAUCAAAAAGGAGAACAGCUAUCUCUAUCCUAUAUCACCAAGACACCAACAGAUCAAGCCCCUUUGAGUUGGGAAAUGCUC
Non-coding RNA from Phascolarctos cinereus (koala), 296 nucleotides. The record is from RefSeq and is a predicted model, not a curated record. NCBI's taxonomy places the organism in Eukaryota, Metazoa, Chordata, Mammalia, Diprotodontia, Phascolarctidae.